RNAcentral lists this ribosomal RNA (460 nucleotides) under uncultured bacterium. RNAcentral describes it as "partial 16S ribosomal RNA". It matches the Rfam family "Bacterial small subunit ribosomal RNA", at positions 338 to 795 of the family's 1533-position model. The record is from RNAcentral.
CCUACGGGUGACAGCAGUGAGGAAUAUUGGUCAAUGGACGAGAGUCUGAACCAGCCAAGUAGCGUGAAGGAUGACUGCCCUAUGGGUUGUAAACUUCUUUUAUAUGGGAAUAAAACGUUCCACGUGUGGGAUUUUGUAUGUAACAUAUGAAUAAGGAUCGGCUAACUCCGUGCCAGCAGCCGCGGUAAUACGGAGGAUCCGAGCGUUAUCCGGAUUUAUUGGGUUUAAAGGGAGCGUAGGUGGAUUGUUAAGUCAGUUGUGAAAGUUUGCGGCUCAACCGUAAAAUUGCAGUUGAAACUGGCAGUCUUGAGUACAGUAGAGGUGGGCGGAAUUCGUGGUGUAGCGGUGAAAUGCUUAGAUAUCACGAAGAACUCCGAUUGCGAAGGCAGUUCACUGGACUGCAACUGACACUGAGGCUCGAAAGUGUGGGUAUCAAACAGGAUUAGAUACCCCAGUAGUC